Molecule: long non-coding RNA, 315 nt
Organism: Orcinus orca (killer whale)
Lineage: Eukaryota; Metazoa; Chordata; Mammalia; Artiodactyla; Delphinidae
Exons: 3
Source: RefSeq, a predicted model, not a curated record
AGAAUCUACAAAAAAAAAAAUGUUACUAGAAUAGGAAUCCAUGCUCCAGAAAUAAUCACAUAAAGAGGAAGUUUCCUGAACAGCUCUUAGGAUGAAGGGUGUCUGCGUGACAGAGCCUCGGUGACAAUCGGGAAAAAUGCAAAUACAGUCAGUAGAGCGACGGCAAUGGAAGGUUUUUCGAGGAAGGGGUGCUGAUGCAGGCCUGUAGCGUAAGAUGGAUCAGCUCUACACAGGGUGACUGGAAAUGGGCAGAGAGGGCGGGUGAGAGGUGUUAGUAGGUGACACACUCUUCUAACACAGUCGCGAUUGUAGGGA